AGUGAACGCUGGCGGUAGGCCUAACACAUGCAAGUCGAACGGCAGCACAGUAAGAGCUUGCUCUUACGGGUGUCGAGUGUCGGACGGUUGAGGAAUCUAUCGGAAACUACUUUUUCGUUGGGGAUAACGCCGGGAAACUUACGCUAAUACCGCAUACGACCUACGAGUGACAGCAGGGGAUCUUCGGACUUUUCGCGAUUGAAUGAGCCGAUGUCGGAUUAGCUAGUUGGCGGGGUAAAGGCCCACCGAGGCGACGCUCCGUAGCUGGCAUGAGAGGAUGAUCAGACAGCCUGGAACUGAGAAACGGCACAGACUCCUACGGUGAGAAGCAGUGGGGAAUAUUGGACAAUGGGGGAAAGCCGGAUCCAAGCAUACCGCGUGAGUGAAGAAGGCGUUCGGGUUGUAGAGCCAUUUAGUUGGGAAAGAAAAACAGCACGUUAAUACGCCAAUGUUCUGACGGUACCAGAAGAAUAAGCACCGGCUAACUUCGUG
Molecule: ribosomal RNA, 492 nt
Filed under: uncultured bacterium
Lineage: Bacteria
Description: partial 16S ribosomal RNA
Rfam family: Bacterial small subunit ribosomal RNA
Source: RNAcentral